This 463-nucleotide ribosomal RNA is filed under the name uncultured bacterium. RNAcentral's name for it is "bacterial SSU rRNA". It matches the Rfam family "Bacterial small subunit ribosomal RNA", at positions 917 to 1382 of the family's 1533-position model. The record is from RNAcentral.
GGGCCCGCACAAGCAGCGGAGCAUGUGGUUUAAUUCGAAGCAACGCGAAGAACCUUACCAGGGCUUGACAUCCCUUGAAGUGCGUGGAAACACGUACGCCCUUCGGGGCAAGGAGACAGGUGGUGCAUGGUUGUCGUCAGCUCGUGUCGUGAGAUGUUGGGUUAAGUCCCGCAACGAGCGCAACCCUUAUGGUUAGUUGCCAGCAUGCAAGAUGGGAACUCUAAUCAGACUGCCGGGGAUAACUCGGAGGAAGGUGGGGACGACGUCAAAUCAUCAUGCCCCUUAUGUCCUGGGCUACACACGUGCUACAAUGGCCGGUACAAAGAGCAGCGAAGCCGUAAGGUGAAGCGAAUCUCACAAAACCGGUCCCAGUUCGGAUUGUGGGCUGCAACCCGCCCACAUGAAGCCGGAGUUGCUAGUAAUCGCGAAUCAGCAUGUCGCGGUGAAUGCGUUCCCGGGCCUU